GAUGAACGCUGGCGGCGUGCCUAAUACAUGCAAGUCGAGCGAACAGACGAGGAGCUUGCUCCUCUGACGUUAGCGGCGGACGGGUGAGUAACACGUGGAUAACCUACUUAUAAGACUGGGAUAACUACGGGAAACCGGAGCUAAUACUGGAUAAUAUAUUGAACCGCAUGGAUCAAUAGUGAAAGACGGUUUUGCUGUCUCUUAUAGAUGGAUCCGCGUCGCAUUAGCUAGUUGGUAAGGUAACGGCUUACCAAGGCGACGAUGCGUAGCCGACCUGAGAGGGUGAUCGGCCACACUGGAACUGAGACACGGUCCAGACUCCUACGGGAGGCAGCAGUAGGGAAUCUUCCGCAAUGGGCGAAAGCCUGACGGAGCAACGCCGCGUGAGUGAUGAAGGUCUUCGGAUCGUAAAGCUCUGUUAUUGGGAAAGAACAAAUGUGUAAGUAACUAUGCACGUCUUGACGGUACCUAAUCAAAAAGCCACGGCUAACUACGUG
This 497-nucleotide ribosomal RNA is filed under the name uncultured bacterium. RNAcentral describes it as "partial 16S ribosomal RNA". It matches the Rfam family "Bacterial small subunit ribosomal RNA", at positions 28 to 507 of the family's 1533-position model. The record is from RNAcentral.